UCCUCUGAGUGCAUUUGAUUCUCAGAGAAGUACUCAGUCAUAUAUUCAAAAUAUAUGUAAAAAAGAUAAUAAGAAUGGAAAGUAAUGUUCUUGUGAGCAUCUUCAACAAGUUAAGCAUUAAAUUUAAUAAAUAACACUACUCAAUAUUAUCGGUGCAGAUCAGAUGGAGAGCAACAAUUCUUACGUUGACAACUCGACCUUCGAUAGGAAUUGAAACCCUGCUAAUGUGCCUAGAGAUGUAGGCACAGUUGAAAGUAUUGUUGGUAAUGUACUACUCCAUAUCGAGGAACAACAGGAAGCCUACCAAAAAUUUUAUCAUGGAUACCUUGGUCUAUUUCAUACACAAAACGUGAUUACAGAUGUUUUGGAACUCCACACACGUAUAAGUGCUAGAUUAAGAUAAUUGGUUUUCCAUUAAGCACUAAAGUCCAUACAUACAAAUUUCCCCAGUCAACAUGUCUUGACGGCAAGAAGUGUUGCUCCAUAUGCUUGAAUGACUACUACGACAAGGAAAAACUCAUUGAAAUCAAUUGUGGUCAUUUAUACCACUUUGGUUGUAUUAGAGAGUGGAUCAAGCUUAAUAACUCUUGCCCUAUUUGCAAGAGAGAUGCAAGUGCAACAAUCAAUUAAAUUUUUUGUUUGGUGGACUAACUAGUGGAAAGGCGUUAUUAAGCUCAAGAGAGUUGAAUUAAAUCUAAAAUUAAGGAACCAUUUUAAGGUUGAGGAAACAAUGGUCUUUAAGUUUGAUAUUUUUCUUUCAUUUUCGACUAAACUAAGUUUUAUCAAGAUUUUGUAGGUGAGUAUAAGUUGGUACUCAUGUUGGUUUGAGUUUUGACAUUGAGAAAAUUUUGUUCAUAAUCGAUGCUUAACUACAGAUUUGUAAAACCUCUUGAUUCUGAUCUUUGAAGCCUCCCCAUAUGUUUCUAUAUAGAAGGUAGGCAUUCUAUUCAACUAAAAACCAACAACAAAAAAAGUAUGUAUUGUCAUUCAAAAUCAUCAAUAACAAAAAUCUCUAGGUUGAUUCACUUCUCUGCGGCCAUUGUCACGGUGACAACCCUAGAAAUCACAAGCACAUAUUUUGUUGAGAGAGAGAGAGAGAGCCAUCAGCGAAGCAUCUAGA
Molecule: non-coding RNA, 1120 nt
Organism: Solanum lycopersicum (tomato)
Lineage: Eukaryota; Viridiplantae; Streptophyta; Magnoliopsida; Solanales; Solanaceae
Source: RefSeq, a predicted model, not a curated record